Non-coding RNA from Paramuricea clavata, 157 nucleotides. The record is from the annotation of a GenBank genome assembly. Lineage: Eukaryota; Metazoa; Cnidaria; Anthozoa; Malacalcyonacea; Plexauridae.
GACGUCGAUAUUCGACGUCAUAAACACGAUCAACUUAGGUGUUUAUGACGUCGAUAUUGGACGUCACAAACAGGAUCAACUUAGCUGUUUAUGACGUCGAUAUUCGACGUCAUAAACACGAUUAACGUUGGUGUUUAUGACGUCGAUAUUCGACGUC